GGCUUAACACAUGCAAGUCGAGGGGUAGCAGGGUAGCAAUACCGCUGACGACCGGCGCACGGGUGAGUAACACGUAUCCAACCUUCCCAUAACUCGGGGAUAGCCUUUCGAAAGAAAGAUUAAUACCCGAUAGUACUUUAUUAAGGCAUCUUAAGAAAGUUAAAGAUUUAUUGGUUAUGGAUGGGGAUGCGUUCCAUUAGAUAGUUGGUGAGGUAACGGCUCACCAAGUCUUCGAUGGAUAGGGGUUCUGAGAGGAAGGUCCCCCACAUUGGUACUGAGACACGGACCAAACUCCUACGGGAGGCAGCAGUGAGGAAUAUUGGUCAAUGGGCGAGAGCCUGAACCAGCCAAGUAGCGUGAAGGAUGACGG
Molecule: ribosomal RNA, 370 nt
Filed under: uncultured Bacteroidales bacterium
Lineage: Bacteria; Pseudomonadati; Bacteroidota; Bacteroidia; Bacteroidales
Description: bacterial SSU rRNA
Rfam family: Bacterial small subunit ribosomal RNA
Source: RNAcentral